GGGGAAUUUUCCGCAAUGGGCGAAAGCCUGACGGAGCAAUACCGCGUGUGGGAGGAAGGCCCUUGGGUUGUAAACCACUUUUAUCAGGGAAGAAGCUCUGACGGUACCUGAUGAAUAAGCAUCGGCUAACUCCGUGCCAGCAGCCGCGGUAAUACGGAGGAUGCAAGCGUUAUCCGGAAUCAUUGGGCGUAAAGCGUCCGUAGGUGGUUUGUCAAGUCUGUCGUCAAAGAAUGGAGCUUAACUCCAUAAAGGCGGUGGAAACUGAGAGACUAGAGUUCGGUAGGGGUAGCGGGAAUUCCCAGUGUAGCGGUGAAAUKCKUAAAUAUUGGGAAGAAC
Molecule: ribosomal RNA, 336 nt
Filed under: uncultured cyanobacterium
Lineage: Bacteria; Bacillati; Cyanobacteriota
Description: bacterial SSU rRNA
Rfam family: Bacterial small subunit ribosomal RNA
Source: RNAcentral